This 72-nucleotide transfer RNA is filed under the name Ovis aries (sheep). It matches the Rfam family "tRNA". From Rfam's summary of the family: Transfer RNA (tRNA) molecules are approximately 80 nucleotides in length. Lineage: Eukaryota; Metazoa; Chordata; Mammalia; Artiodactyla; Bovidae. The record is from Rfam by way of RNAcentral.
UCCCUGGUGGCUCAGCGGGUAACGCGUCUGCCUACAAUGCAGGAGACCCGGGUUCAAUCCCUGGGUCGGGAA